This 270-nucleotide transfer-messenger RNA is filed under the name Pseudomonadota bacterium. Its description in RNAcentral is "partial transfer-messenger RNA". It matches the Rfam family "transfer-messenger RNA", at positions 86 to 374 of the family's 374-position model. From Rfam's summary of the family: Bacterial tmRNA, also known as 10Sa RNA or SsrA, is named for its dual tRNA and mRNA-like properties. The record is from RNAcentral. RNAcentral also lists the same sequence under 1 other name. Lineage: Bacteria; Pseudomonadati; Pseudomonadota.
AAUAAGCGUCAACCAGCCUGUUCUCGCUGCCGCGGCCUAAGCCCCGCGGCCGUCUCCCUGGGCUCCGCCGGCGAGCCCGGAGGGGGCGUGACCAGGCCGGCUGCUCCCGGUCGCCGCGCUCCGGGCGGCCGGGCUAAGAACCAAGGAGCUGGGCCUCGGGCUAUCCCGCCUGCGGGAGAGCCCCAGGCGAGAGCAGAUCGCAGGCUACGCGCGUAGACGCCUCGCCCUCACCUGUUCAGGACGCGGGUUCGAUUCCCGCCGCCUCCACCA